AUUGAACGCUGGCGGCAUGCCUUACACAUGCAAGUCGAACGGCAGCACGGGAGCAAUCCUGGUGGCGAGUGGCGAACGGGUGAGUAAUAUAUCGGAACGUGCCCAGUCGUGGGGGAUGACGUAGCGGAAGCUACGCUAAUACCGCAUACGAUCUAUGGAUGAAAGCGGGGGAUCGCAAGACCUCGCGCGAUUGGAGCGGCCGAUAUCAGAUUAGGUAGUUGGUGAGGUAAAGGCUCACCAAGCCGACGAUCUGUAGCUGGUCUGAGAGGACGACCAGCCACACUGGGACUGAGACACGGCCCAGACUCCUACGGGAGGCAGCAGUGGGGAAUUUUGGACAAUGGGCGCAGGCCCGAUCCAGCAAUGCCGCGUGCAGGAUGAAGGCCUUCGGGUUGUAAACUGCUUUUGUACGGAACGAAACGGCGAGCUCUAAUACAGCUUGCUAAUGACGGUACCGUAAGAAUAAGCACCGGCUAACUCUGUGCCAGCCGCCGCCGUAA
This 500-nucleotide ribosomal RNA is filed under the name uncultured bacterium. Its description in RNAcentral is "partial 16S ribosomal RNA". It matches the Rfam family "Bacterial small subunit ribosomal RNA", at positions 30 to 523 of the family's 1533-position model. The record is from RNAcentral.